Oncorhynchus keta (chum salmon) is the source of this 703-nucleotide long non-coding RNA. RefSeq lists it as uncharacterized. NCBI's taxonomy places the organism in Eukaryota, Metazoa, Chordata, Actinopteri, Salmoniformes, Salmonidae. The transcript is spliced from 3 exons. The record is from RefSeq and is a predicted model, not a curated record.
GUGUGUGUACGUGUGUGUGUGUGUACGUGUGUGUGUGUGUGUGUGUGUGUGUGUGUGUGUGUCAGGUAAAUGGCAGUGAUGUGGUGAAGGUGGGUCAUAGACAGGUUGUACUCUGCAGUGCUAUGUAACCCUAACCCUAUGUUGAAUGUGUGUGUGUGUCAGGUAAAUGGCAGUGAUGUGGUGAAGGUGGGUCAUAGACAGGUUGUACUCUGCAGUGCUAUGUAACCCUAACCCUAUGUUGAAUGUGUGUGUGUGUCAGGUAAAUGGCAGUGAUGUGGUGAAGGUGGGUCAUAGACAGGUUGUACUCUGCAGUGCUAUGUAACCCUAACCCUAUGUUGAAUGUGUGUGUGUGUCAGGUAAAUGGCAGUGAUGUGGUGAAGGUGGGUCAUAGACAGGUUGUACUCUGCAGUGCUAUGUAACCCUAACCCUAUGUUGAAUGUGUGUGUGUGUGUGUGUGUGUGUCAGGUAAAUGGCAGUGAUGUGGUGAAGGUGGGUCAUAGACAGGUGGUGUCACUGAUCCGUCAGGGAGGAAGUCAACUGCUGAUGAAGGUUGUUUCAGUCACACGCAAACCUGAGUCCGACUUAGUCCGUAAGAAAGCACCUCCUCCGCCUAAGAGAGCACCCAGCACGUCGCUCACACUGCGCUCCAAAUCUAUGACUGCUGAACUGGAAGAGAUAGCCUCUGCCAGGAGGAGACGAGGGG